This is a non-coding RNA of Pelobates cultripes (western spadefoot toad), 365 nucleotides long. The record is from the annotation of a GenBank genome assembly. Lineage: Eukaryota; Metazoa; Chordata; Amphibia; Anura; Pelobatidae.
AGCACCUCUAGUGGCUGGUUGUGAUGCAGCCACUUGAGACAAUCUUAACUCUCCAAUGUAAACGUUGCAGUUUUAGAGAAAAAGUAAUGUUGUACUUUGCAGGGUUAAGGGAACAGGGAAACUGCAUCCGAUGAGUUUAAUGAGAUGAAGUGGUCUGCGUGCCUAUAGUGUCCCUUUAAAUACCUGCCCUGAUUUGAGGAAAGAGACCUUUCUCUUGUAAAAAAUAAAUAAAAAAAUACCAUAUCACUUACACUGCUAUACCUAACCAUUCCAAUCUGACCACUUCAGUUUGUUUUUCCAGCUAUGAUCAAUUAUGCACUCUAGCGUCUUCCCCAGCUAUGAAACGGGCAAGGACAGCUUCCCCC